CAGUAGCCGCGGUAAUACGAAGGGUGCACGCGUUAAUCGGAAUUACUGGGCGUAAAGCGUGCGUAGGCGGUGAGUUAAGUCUGCUGUGAAAUCCCCGGGCUCAACCUGGGAAUGGCAGUGGAUACUGGCUCGCUAGAGUGUGUCAGAGGAUGGUGGAAUUCCCGGUGUAGCGGUGAAAUGCGUAGAGAUCGGGAGGAACAUCAGUGGCGAAGGCGGCCAUCUGGGACAACACCGAUGCUGAGGCACGAAAGCGUGGGGAGCAAACAGGAUUAGAUACCCCCGUAGUCCCUGUCUCUUAUAC
This 301-nucleotide ribosomal RNA is filed under the name uncultured bacterium. Its description in RNAcentral is "partial 16S ribosomal RNA". It matches the Rfam family "Bacterial small subunit ribosomal RNA", at positions 509 to 807 of the family's 1533-position model. The record is from RNAcentral.